This 213-nucleotide long non-coding RNA is filed under the name Ananas comosus (pineapple). RNAcentral describes it as "long non-coding RNA (ACOM_LNC039085)". Lineage: Eukaryota; Viridiplantae; Streptophyta; Magnoliopsida; Poales; Bromeliaceae. The record is from RNAcentral.
UGGACUAUAGGAAUUAGGCUCGUGAGAGACGAGGUCUAAUUGACUUGUGAGCGAAAGUAUUUCGAUUGGGUUUAUGAUAACUCUAAAAAGUUAGAGUUUGAUCGGAGUGUAUGGCUUCUAACUUCGCUGAGGGUUACGUUGGCGGCCGACAACGUAACAUCGGGAGUUAGUAGUGAAGGAUACUUCCUUACUUUCGCAUGAUUUGGGUUUUAU